RNAcentral lists this ribosomal RNA (253 nucleotides) under uncultured bacterium. RNAcentral describes it as "partial 16S ribosomal RNA". It matches the Rfam family "Bacterial small subunit ribosomal RNA", at positions 524 to 776 of the family's 1533-position model. The record is from RNAcentral.
UACGUAGGGUGCAAGCGUUGUUCGGAAUCAUUGGGCGUAAAGCGCGUGUAGGCGGCUUUGCAAGUCGGGUGUGAAAGCCCUCAGCUCAACUGAGGAAGUGCGCCCGAAACUGCAGAGCUUGAGUGCCGGAGAGGGUGGCGGAAUUCCCCAAGUAGAGGUGAAAUUCGUAGAUAUGGGGAGGAACACCGGUGGCGAAGGCGGCCACCUGGACGGUAACUGACGCUGAGACGCGAAAGCGUGGGGAGCAAACAGG